UACGUAGGUGGCAAGCGUUAUCCGGAUUCACUGGGUUUAAAGGGUGCGUAGGUGGAUUGGAAAGUCAGUGGUGAAAUCUCCGGGCUUAACCCGGAAACUGCCAUUGAUACUAUCAAUCUUGAAUACCGUGGAGGUCAGCGGAAUAUGUCAUGUAGCGGUGAAAUGCAUAGAUAUGACAUAGAACACCAAUUGCGAAGGCAGCUGGCUACACGAAUAUUGACACUGAGGCACGAAAGCGUGGGGAUCAAACAGG
RNAcentral lists this ribosomal RNA (253 nucleotides) under uncultured bacterium. RNAcentral's name for it is "partial 16S ribosomal RNA". It matches the Rfam family "Bacterial small subunit ribosomal RNA", at positions 524 to 776 of the family's 1533-position model. The record is from RNAcentral.